RNAcentral lists this ribosomal RNA (443 nucleotides) under uncultured bacterium. RNAcentral describes it as "partial 16S ribosomal RNA". It matches the Rfam family "Bacterial small subunit ribosomal RNA", at positions 338 to 795 of the family's 1533-position model. The record is from RNAcentral.
CCUACGGGCGGCAGCAGUGGGGAAUAUUGGACAAUGGGGGGAACCCUGAUCCAGCGACGCCGCGUGAGUGAAGAAGUAUUUCGGUAUGUAAAGCUCUAUCAGCAGGGAAGAAAGAAAUGCCGUUACCUGACUAAGAAGCCCCGCCUAACUACGUGCCAGCAGCCGCGGUAAUACGUAGGGGGCAAGCGUUAUCCGGAUUUACUGGGUGUAAAGGGGGCGUAGACGGCGAUGCAAGUCUGAAGUGAAAGGCGGGGGCCCAACCCCCGGACUGCUUUGGAAACUGUAUGGCUGGAGUGCAGGAGAGGUAAGUGGAAUUCCUAGUGUAGCGGUGAAAUGCGUAGAUAUUAGGAGGAACACCAGUGGCGAAGGCGGAUUACUGGACUGUAACUGACGUUGAGGCUCGAAAGCGUGGGGAGCAAACAGGAUUAGAUACCCCAGUAGUC